CAAUAGCGUAUAUUUAAGUUGUUGCAGUUAAAAAGCUCGUAGUUGGAUUUCGGAUGGGACUUGCCGGUCCGUCGUUUCGAUGUGCACUGGCCAGUCCUAUCUUGUUGUCGGGGACUAGCUCCUGGGCUUCACUGUCCGGGACUAGGAGCUGACGAGGUUACUUUGAGUAAAUUAGAGUGUUCAAAGCAAGCCUACGCUCUGAAUACAUUAGCACGGAAUAACACGAUAGGACUCUGGCUUAUCUUGUUGGUCUGUGAGACCAGAGUAAUGAUUAAGAGGGACAGUCGGGGGCAUUCGUAUUUCAUUGUCAGAGGUGAAAUUCUUGGAUUUAUGAAAGACGAACUUCUGCGAAAGCAUUUGUCAAGGAUGUUUUCAUUAA
RNAcentral lists this ribosomal RNA (379 nucleotides) under uncultured eukaryote. RNAcentral's name for it is "partial 18S ribosomal RNA". It matches the Rfam family "Eukaryotic small subunit ribosomal RNA", at positions 592 to 976 of the family's 1831-position model. The record is from RNAcentral.